This 397-nucleotide ribosomal RNA is filed under the name uncultured bacterium. RNAcentral describes it as "bacterial SSU rRNA". It matches the Rfam family "Bacterial small subunit ribosomal RNA", at positions 28 to 429 of the family's 1533-position model. The record is from RNAcentral.
GACGAACGCUGGCGGCGUGCUUAACACAUGCAAGUCGAGCGGUAAGGCCCUUUCGGGGGUACACGAGCGGCGAACGGGUGAGUAACACGUGGGUGACCUGCCCUCAGCUCUGGGAUAAGCCCGGGAAACUGGGUCUAAUACCGGAUAUGACUCCAUGACGCAUGUUGUGGGGUGGAAAGCCUUGUGCGGCUGAGGAUGGGCCCGCGGCCUAUCAGCUUGUUGGUGGGGUGAUGGCCACCAAGGCGACGACGGGUAGCCGGCCUGAGAGGGCGACCGGCCACACUGGGACUGAGAUACGGCCCACGACUCCUACGGGAGGCAGCAGUGGGGAAUCUUGCGCAAUGGGCGAAAGCCUGACGCAGCGACGCCGCGUGAGGGAUGACGGCCUCGGUGUAAC